This 253-nucleotide ribosomal RNA is filed under the name uncultured bacterium. Its description in RNAcentral is "partial 16S ribosomal RNA". It matches the Rfam family "Bacterial small subunit ribosomal RNA", at positions 524 to 776 of the family's 1533-position model. The record is from RNAcentral.
UACGUAGGGUCCGAGCGUUGUCCGGAAUUAUUGGGCGUAAAGAGCUCGUAGGCGGUCUGUUGCGUCGGCUGUGAAAACCCGGGGCUCAACUCCGGGCCUGCAGUCGAUACGGGCAGACUAGAGUUCGGUAGGGGAGACUGGAAUUCCUGGUGUAGCGGUGAAAUGCGCAGAUAUCAGGAGGAACACCUAUUGCGAAGGCAGCUCGCUGGGACGUAACUGACGCUGAGACGCGAAAGCGUGGGGAGCAAACAGG